Molecule: long non-coding RNA, 2884 nt
Filed under: Salmo salar (Atlantic salmon)
Lineage: Eukaryota; Metazoa; Chordata; Actinopteri; Salmoniformes; Salmonidae
Description: lncRNA (ENSSSAG00000083985.1)
Rfam family: UnaL2 LINE 3' element (bases 2119-2172)
Source: RNAcentral
GUAUGACUACCUCUACUGCUGUAAGUACUACCAGUAUGGGUAGUGGUCUGACUACCUCUACUGCUGUAAGUACUACCAGUAUGGUUAGGGGUAUGACUACCUCUACUGCUGUAAGUACUACCAGUAUGGUUAGGGGUAUGACUACCUCUACUGCUGUAAGUACGACCAGUAUUGUUAGGGGUAUGACUACCUCUACUGCUGUAAGUACUACCAGUAUGGUUAGGGGUAUGACUACCUCUACUGCUGUAAGUACUACCAGUAUGGUUAGGGGUAUGGCUACCUCUACUGCUGUAAGUACUACCAGUAUGGGUAGUGGUAUGGUAAACCUCUACUGCUGUAAGUACUACCAGUAUGGGUAGUGGUAUGGCUACCUCUACUGCUUUUGACAGCAUACAUCGCUGCUGAUGACAGUAUACAUUUCCACUUCAACAAAAUACCUGCCAGACUGGUUCUUUCUCUUUAUAUGAAGAAGAUGAGGUGGAAAGACAUGAGCACAACUCUACAGCAAGAGUGAUUCCGACUACGCUUGGACCAUUCUGGCCGCGCGCUUCUGGGACCGUUCUGGCUACGCUUCCGGGACCGUUCUGGCUACGCUUCCGGGACCGUUCUGGCUACGCUUCCGGGACCGUUCUGGCUACGCUUCCGGGACCGUUCUGGCUACGCUACCAGGACCAUUCUGGCUACGCUACCAGGACCAUUCUGGCUACACUUUCUGGGCCAUUCUGACUAUGCUUCUGGGGCCAUUCUGGCAACUCUGCCUCUACUCUGUUUAGAUGAAUUACUAGAAACUGCAGAGUGAUAACUGCCACCUCACUGUGCUCAUCACGGAUUUGGACAACAUGCUAUUUAAAGGUAAUUUAAGAUGACAUAUGCAGGGUUUACUAUGAAUCUGGUCUCUGCGAGCGAACUCAGGAACUUUGCCUUUAAAAGGUGCAUUGCAUACAUUGCUGAUUGGUUAAAAGUCAAUUCCACAAGUCACCACCUGCUAAAUCUAUGAUGUUAAAAUGCCUAUUUACUCUGUUCCAUCUGACUGCGCAAUCCACCGUCUCAUCAGCCCAGCCAGGCAAUUUAUAAACUUGAUCUCCACUAUAAAAAACUUCUAGACAUUAUCUCACAUUUACUAAAGAUUUUCAUUUAGUUUUCAACAGUGGAGAUUUGUAAUAACCUUGCUGUCUGUCUCUCCGACAUUUGCAACAUUGUUUCAAUAUUAAAAUUGGAUCUCCAGCUGUCCUAUAGUAAGGAACGUGUCGGGAGUCAGGACGAGACAGACAGACAGACAGGCAGCUUCUCUUAGCCAGUCUUGAAUUAUGAAUCAGCUGGCAUCAUUUUUAUGGAUAUAUACAAAGAAAUAUAAAUUGAAAAAAGGUACCGCGAAAUGAAGUAGUGCUAGUGUGCAGUCUUUCCAGCUUCAGUUUGAAGUGAUUGUGUUAGCUGUGUUGGCUAGCUCCUGUGAACAAAAGUAUCCUGAUGAGAGAGCACAUUUUCUAUGCCAGGCUAAAUUGUGCCUCAUUAGCUCAUUGUUAUGGAUGUAUCCAAAUAAAUGUCACUAGAAAACAGUUUAAACAAAUGCAAAUGCAGCUACUGUUAUUCUGGCUGCACUGUUUGAUGUGCUGUAAAUUAGCUGUAGUUGACUAGCUAGCAAGCAAGGGAUAAGAACGUUGCCAGCUAGUAUGACAAUGGAACAUUUAGAACGGACAACUGGGUCGCGUCCAUAGAUACAGAACAAAAAGACUGAACGACUGGUUCGCAUCUCUGGCAACCGAAUCGAUAGAACAACCAGCCGGCUUGGGUAACAACCCUAGAUUUGUGUCGGGACUAUAUCUUGUGGAAGGGUGAAAUAGUAUGAAUAAAUUCAGCAAAAUAACGUUUUUAAUUAAAUUAUGUAUAUCAUUAUUUGAAUAUGUUGGUUAACCCUUUGUAUGCCCUCAAUAUUUUGGCACGGUUUGCUGGCCCUGGACUUCGUCUUGGGCCUAACAACACCCGUGCCAAUAUAUCCUCCAAACACCGGCUUCUCGGGCAUUAUCACUUAAUUAUUCUAUCAGCAUUGUGCAAUGGGGAUAACAGUUCUAACUACAUAUAGUACAACAACAAUUUUUUUUUUUUAAAUAAUGAAAUGUAUGCAUUCACUACUGUAAGUCGCUCUGGAUAAGAGCGUCUGCUAAAUGACUAAAAUGUAAAUGUAAAUAUAAUAGAUAAUCUUUGCUAUAUUACAAAGCAUCAUGCCCCUAAGCCCGACAUCCACCUGGCACAGGAAGAUUUAAGUGUCCUCCCCAAGUCCCUCCCCAAUAGUACCCGCAAAACACAAGUCUCAACGUCAACAGUGAAGAGGCGACUCCGGAAUGCUGGCCUUCUAGGCAGAGUUGCAAAGAUAAAAAGCCAUAUCUCUGAUUGGUCAAUAAAAAGAAAAGAUUAAGAUGGGCAAAAGAACACAGACACUGGACAGGGGAACUCUGCCUAGAAGGCCAGCAUCCCGGAGUCGCCUCUUCACUGUUGACGUUGAGACUGGUGUUUUGCGGGUACUAUUUAAUGAAACUGCCAGUUGAGGUCUUGUGAGGCGUCUGUUUCUCAAACUAGACUCUCUAAUGUACUUGUCCUCUUGCUCAGUUGUGCACCAGGGCCUCCCACACCUCUUUCUAUUCUGGUCAGAGACAGUUUGCACUGUUCUGUGAAGGGAGUAGUACACAGCGCUGUAUGAGAUCUUCAGUUUCUUGGCAAUUUCUCGCAUGGAAUAGCCUUCAUUUCUCAGGACAAGAAUAGACUGACGAGUUUCAGAAGAAAGGUUUUUGUUUCUGGCCAUUUUGAGCCUGUAAUUGAACCCACAAAUGCUGAUGCUCCAGAUACUCAACUAGUCUAAAGAAGGAGUUUUAUUGCUUCUUUAAUCAGG